AAUAAGAUGCCUGAUAAAAGGAUUAUUUUGAUAGAAUAAAUCAUGUAGUGUUCUACUCUUAUUA
This 64-nucleotide transfer RNA is filed under the name Hydrobasileus croceus. RNAcentral describes it as "tRNA-Ile". The record is from RNAcentral. Lineage: Eukaryota; Metazoa; Arthropoda; Insecta; Odonata; Libellulidae.